Molecule: unclassified non-coding RNA, 495 nt
Filed under: Piscirickettsia salmonis
Lineage: Bacteria; Pseudomonadati; Pseudomonadota; Gammaproteobacteria; Thiotrichales; Piscirickettsiaceae
Description: partial 16S-23S ribosomal RNA intergenic spacer
Rfam family: tRNA (bases 108-181)
Source: RNAcentral
UAGCCGUAGGGGAACCUGCGGCUGGAUUACCUCCUUAUUUAUAGACUUGAAGUUGCUUAAGUGUUCACACAAAUUGCUUGAUAUUUAGUUAAUGAAGAACGAUUUGAAGGCCUGUAGCUCAGCUGGUUAGAGCGCACCCCUGAUAAGGGUGAGGUCGGUGGUUCAAGUCCACUCAGGCCUACCAGUUUUGGUAGAUAGAUCAUGGGGCUAUAGCUCAGCUGGGAGAGCGCCUGCUUUGCACGCAGGAGGUCUGCGGUUCGAUCCCGCAUAGCUCCACCAUAUCUUCACUCUAAACGAUAUUUUUAUAAGAUUUUAGAAUGCCGUGAAAUGAUUAUUUAAAUGAUUAUUUCACGUUGUUUUGACUUGAUUAAAAUAAUGUAUUUUUGUUCUUUAACAAUGUGGUAAAAAGUAUAAGUAAAGAUUCCUUGAUUAAUUUAGGGUUAUUUUUAUUUUCGAUUGAGAUGUAUUUUUAUGUUUUGAUUGAUAAAUGGGAAU